RNAcentral lists this ribosomal RNA (465 nucleotides) under uncultured bacterium. RNAcentral describes it as "partial 16S ribosomal RNA". It matches the Rfam family "Bacterial small subunit ribosomal RNA", at positions 338 to 795 of the family's 1533-position model. The record is from RNAcentral.
CCUACGGGAGGCAGCAGUGGGGAAUAUUGCGCAAUGGGCGAAAGCCUGACGCAGCGACGCCGCGUGAGGGAUGAAGGUCUUCGGAUCGUAAACCUCUGUCAGCAGGGAAGUACGGUCACUGUGCUAAUCAGCAGUGAAUUGACGGUACCUGCAAAGGAAGCACCGGCUAACUCCGUGCCAGCAGCCGCGGUAAUACGGAGGGUGCGAGCGGUAAUCGGAAUUACUGGGCGUAAGGCGCUCGUAGGCGGUAUGUCAAGUCAAGGGUGAAAUCCCCUCGCUCAACGUGGGAAUUGCCGUUGAAACUGGCAGACUGGAGUGUGUGAGAGGAUAGUGGAAUUCCAGGUGUAGGAGUGAAAUCCGUAGAUAUCUGGAGGAACAUCAGUGGCGAAGGCGACUAUCUGGCACAUAACUGACGCUGAGGAGCGAAAGCGUGGGUAGCAAACAGGAUUAGAUACCCUUGUAGUC